Podarcis raffonei (Aeolian wall lizard) is the source of this 1386-nucleotide long non-coding RNA. RefSeq lists it as uncharacterized. The record is from RefSeq and is a predicted model, not a curated record. The transcript has 2 exons. NCBI's taxonomy places the organism in Eukaryota, Metazoa, Chordata, Lepidosauria, Squamata, Lacertidae.
AGCUGAAAACACCUGUUGUGACCAUCAGAGACAUCUUUUCCUUUCUUUUUGGGAAUGUGCCCUCGUAAGGUGAAUACUGAAAUCCUUGCCUCAUAAGGAAUUGCUACAUCCAGCCAGCCAGCACCGUUAGACACAAAGGUACAAGCGAGAGAUAAAGGGAAGAGUAAAGCCGGAAGAGAAGACAAUGAAUGUUCUUCUUUGCACUGCCACUGCUGCCAUGCUUUUCAUCAUGGCUGAGGCUCAGACUGCUAGCAUGCCUUUUGAGGAAGAAUUAGGUGCCACUCCUGAAGCCUUACCUUUGGCUAUCUGGCUAAUAAAAAAGACUACCAAGUUGUAUAAAACGCUGUGUAAUCUGCGAGGCACAUGUGAUACCAAUUGGAGUCAUCUGCCUCAGGAACAUUUGCUUAUCCCAGAGAUCCAUAGCGAAAGUAAAUGCUACCCCUCUACAUUUGAAAAGGAAGCAUGCCUGGAAUUCCUUGCAGAGGGACUUUUUUCAUUUAGGAUAUUUUUGGAAUACCUGCAGGAAACUUUAUUUCCCAAGAAACCGGAGCUAACUUGGUACUUGUGGCCAGCAACAGAGUUUCUGGCCAAUAAGUUGAAGUCACAGCUGAAGAAUCCUGAUUGCAUGCAACCUAUACCUGACGCCAUUGACGAUGGUCUUGUUCAUAAGCUAGCAAUGCAUACUGGUUGGACACCUGCAAUUCUCAGGCACACCAUACUUAGAAGGUACCUGAAGUUUAUGGAUACAGCUGCAAGUGCAAUUAAGUCCAUAAACACAUCAUAGAUAACAGUAAAUCAUGUGCAUCAACUGGCAUUUAGAAGAGGACAACCAUUUGGACAAAAAAAAUGACCCCGAGUUUACCAGGAAAAAAAUGUUUGAGAAGCUGCACUGCAGCCCACAGCUGACCACAUCCUAAUCUCCCCACCAACCCCAGUGGGCCAAGAUUGAAAGGUGGAAAGGAUUACAGGUGAUGCUAGCUAGCUAUAACAAUCAAUCAGAUCAUCAGUUAGAACCCAUUUAAAGUCUCUCCAGGCAUAAAACACACCUAAAAGUGGAUAAUUUGUGGAGAAAACCUUGAAGAUGCCUAGAAUACUUGCUCAACUGAAGAGAAAGCAGCAGGUGUUUUAAAGAAAGAAAGAAAAAUAGAGGCUUGCAGAGAGAACUGGCAAAACCACUUUUCCAAAUGGAAGCACUUGACUAACUUUAAGUUAGCUUCAGAACCAAACAAAAUAUAGAAAUAUUGUUAUACUUGAGCUACAAAUGGCAACUGCAUGUUUAUUUAUUCUAUGUCCCAUUAAGUCAUCAGAACCCCCAAGCAGGUUACAUAAAACAUCCAUUGUGUACCAAUAAAAAGAGAAAUUAAAAAGAAGUUUUCAAAAUGUUAA